CGGAGGGCGUGAGGUGGGUCGCAUGUGAUCACUCCUCUUUUUUUGUUUUAAAAAAUAUAUAUUAUCAGAUAGUUUUAACUCAAAAAAAUUUGAUUCCAUUCCCUCCAUAUCAAUCAUGCCGCGACCACCAUGAAUUUUCAGUGAAGUCCCCAGAUUUUUGUUCCUUUUGUUAUCGUUGCCAAUGCGUCUGCAUCGUAAUUAAUUCCGCCCCCAUCGCUUUCGUUCCACCUUUGAAUAUUUCCCGCAUGUACCGACAAUUGUAAAAUAUAUGAUCUAUUGAUUUUGGCUUAUCUCCACAUAAAAUGCACUCCUCAUCCACCAUCGCUCCUCUCCUCUCCUCGCCGAUCUAUCGUGAGUUGGUAAUUUUCGCAAUCGGACUCUCCACAGCUUUGGAAUUUUCGUCGCCCAUAUCCCCUUCGCUUUCUCGUCAAUCUCCUCUCUCCUCCUUGUCGAAGAUCGGACUAGCGGUUUGUUGAUAAAGUGACUAGUUCCGGCCAUUGAGAGGAAUGAGAGGUAGAGAACAACACAAAGUAUUUUGGCAAACAAUCG
Molecule: long non-coding RNA, 549 nt
Filed under: Zostera marina
Lineage: Eukaryota; Viridiplantae; Streptophyta; Magnoliopsida; Alismatales; Zosteraceae
Description: long non-coding RNA (ZMAR_LNC001577)
Source: RNAcentral